RNAcentral lists this non-coding RNA (131 nucleotides) under Kribbella flavida. Lineage: Bacteria; Bacillati; Actinomycetota; Actinomycetes; Propionibacteriales; Kribbellaceae. The record is from RNAcentral.
CACCGGCGUACCGGCUAGAGUCACCCCUGUCAUCGACGGAGUUGCAGGAACCCGGUGUGAGUCCGGGGCGGUCCCGCCACUGUGACCACGUUCGCGUGGGAGUCAGGAACUGCUGCCGUCGUACUGCCCAC